GUAUCCCCCCUUUCCCUGUACGACUGACUAGGUAUCCCCCUUUCCCACUGACUAGGUAUCCCCCCCUUUCCCUGUACGACUGACUAGGUAUCCCCCUUUCCCUGUACAACUGACUAGGUAUCCCCCCCUUUCCCUGUACAACUGACUAGGUAUCCCCCUUUCCCUAUACAACUGACUUGGUAUCCCCCCUUUCCCUGUACAACUGACUAGGUAUCCCCCCUUUCCCUGUACAACUGACUAGGUAUCCCCCUUUCCCACUGACUAGGUAUCCCCCCUUUCCCUGUACAACUGACUAGGUAUCCCCCCUUUCCCUGUACAACUGACUAGGUACCUCCCCCCCUUUCCCUGUACAACUGACUAGGUAUCUCCCCCGCUUUCCCUGUACAACUGACUAGGUAUGUCCCCCCCUUUCCCUGUACAACUGACUAGGUAUCUCCCCCCCUUU
Molecule: long non-coding RNA, 445 nt
Filed under: Salmo salar (Atlantic salmon)
Lineage: Eukaryota; Metazoa; Chordata; Actinopteri; Salmoniformes; Salmonidae
Description: lncRNA (ENSSSAG00000102048.1)
Source: RNAcentral